This 4558-nucleotide long non-coding RNA is filed under the name Actinidia chinensis (golden kiwifruit). Its description in RNAcentral is "long non-coding RNA (ACHI_LNC006544)". The record is from RNAcentral. Lineage: Eukaryota; Viridiplantae; Streptophyta; Magnoliopsida; Ericales; Actinidiaceae.
GGGGGGACACGGGGGAAGGGUGAGAGGGGUAGGGGCGAAAGGGUAAUUGUGUCAGGAGAGGUGAGAUGAUGUGACUUUUUUGUGGUGGGAAUAAAGGUUCUCAUAUUUUCUUAUUUUUUUUGAAAAUAUAAAAAAUUUCACUAAUAAAAAUAAAAAAUAAAAAUAAUUCCAAACUAAAAACAAACAUAAACCAAAGAUGAAGGUUACAUUAGCAAGAUAACAACGGGCUUUGUUUGAUUCAAUUUUUAAAUUAUUUUUGUAAAAUAUUAUUUUUAAAAUUCUUUUUUUUAAAAGAAUAUUUUAUUUUCAUAAUAGAACUAACAAGCUCACCACCGAACUUCUAAAAUGAAAUAGAGAAGGCUAUAGAAGAAAGAAGAAAUUCACGAACACCGACUGCUAAGAGAGACUAGUGACAACGAUGUUGAGAAGUUCAGAAAAAUACGAUUUAUCAUUUUUUUCCUUUUUUUAAUGAUUUUUCAGCUCUCUUUUCUCUUAUUGUACUUUAUUUUUGUCAUUAUUAUGACAGUGCAUUAAAAUAUUUUAUAUAUUUAAGAAAAAUAUAAAAUUUAUAAAAAUAUUUUUAUUUAUAAUAAUGUCACUAUCACAUUAUUAUUCUGAUAGCAUUAUUUUUUUUACAAUCUUUCUUUAAAAAUAUAUAAAUCUUCCAUAAAAGAAGCCUCAACCAACGGGUCUAUUAGGGCAUUAAGUUUCCUAAAAGUGUGGCAUGACACUUGCCAAUUAUUGAAACACGAAUGCAUAAAUAAAUACAACCCUAAACUAUGAGGACGAUAAAUGGAAAUACCAACCUCUCAGAAGUACGACGGUGCGAAGUGAUGUGUGAGGCCAUAGGCCGCCAAGGCUAUUCGAGACGUGUAGUUAUUUUGUUUUUUGAAUUUUUUAAAUAUAUUUUUAUAUUUUUUUAUUAUUUUUAAUAUAAGAAAAUUUUAUAUAUUUUUUAUUUCUUUUAAUAUAUGAAAUAUCAAACCAUAGUUUUUUAUUUUAAUUUCAAAAAAACUAUUUAAAAAAAAACUUUGUCUCGAAAAAUUAGUUAUUUUUUUAUCUUUUAGAAUUUUUUUAGAUUUAAAUAUUUUUUAAUUUUUUAAUAAAACAGAAAAAAAAUACUAAACAAUAAAAAAAAAUCAAAAAUCAAAACCUUUAAAUUUUUUUUUGGAAAAGAGCUAGAAGGAGUCCGAACGUCCUUUUGUAGAGUUGGGCCCUUGUCUCAGAGUCCACAUAUCAUGCCCCCAAUGGGGCCCAUCAAAGACCCACUGAUGAUCCAAUUAUGUUCCUCUUUUAGCUCUUUAUGCCUAGUAUAUUUUCUUAUUCCAAAAUUGUCCAAUUGCAAAAGAAGUAUGCUAUAAAUAACUACAAGGGUAAAAAAGUCAAUUCCUAUUUUAACUCUUUAUGCCCGGUAUACUUUCUUAUUCCAAAAUUGUCCAAUUGCAAAAGAACUAUGCUAUAAAUAACUACAAGGGUAAAAAGGUCAAUUCCUAUUUUAGCUCUUUAUGCCUAGUAUAUUUUCUUAUUCCAAAAUUGUCCAAUUGAAAAUGGACUGUGCUAUAAAUAACUACAAGGGUAAAAAGGUCAAUUCAUCUUUUGACUCUUUAUGUCUGGUAUAUUUUCUUAUUCCCAAAUUGUCCAAUUGAAAAUGGACUGUGCUAUAAACAACUACAAGGGUAAAAUGGUCAACAAAAAUCUGCAACAAUUACGAGUAUUUGGGAUGGGUGACGUUCUGCGGUUGCUAUGUGGCCACUACAGUGGAAGAAUAAUUGAACCAUGUAAGUGGGCUGGGCCCAGCCCACCCACUCGUAGUUGGAAUUCCAAUAAUUGUACUAUCUAAGUGGGCUGGUGGUGGGCCUACGGGCCGGUCCAGGCCAGGCUGGUAUUACAAGCCCAAUAAUUGUCCUCAUCAACAAACAUAUAAACGUGUUAUUUUUUUACGUACCAAACUAGUGGUUGGACUGCUCUGUGCACUGCCAAGUCACGUGAAAAAUAAUAAUAAUUUUUACAAUCCCCUUUUUACGAAAUGUAUUCAUUUUUUUGUUCUCGUUAUGUUAAUUUUGAAUAAAUACCUAAAUUAGCCUUCUCAAAAAAAGAAAGAAGAAAAAGUAUAAGGCUAUGGAGAGAUGCGAUUCUGGUAAUUGACAAAAUUAUUAAGGAUAUUAUUGUAGUAUUGCGUAAUAAUUAGAUAAAAAGUGAAAUGAAAAAAUUAUUACAAAAAAAAAUGUAUAUAAAUUUAUAUAUAACCAUAAAUGCUAAUUGUUCAAACCAUUAAAAUGUAAUUUCCACGAAUAACACCUUGAAAAGGAACUUAAUCAUGGGGGUAUUUUUGAACUUUCACUUCUAAUCGAGUUGGGUUCGGGACAUGACGACCUAAACCCCAUCCACCCAAAACCGAACAGAUUUAGAAAAUCUACCCUAUACCCUGACCCUAACCUGAAUUAUGCAAUCCCAUUUCCCCCUAUUUGGGGAUAAACGGACAGGUUGGUACCGAGUUACUCGAAUACCCCGCUCGAUUGAAAAAAAAAAAAUCAUUAGAAAUGAGUGAGAAAAGAAGUAUAUGUGUGUAUAUAUAUACUACUUAAUGUUCUUAUACUUUUCCAUCUUUUUCGUUUUAUUUUCUUUUUCCCUUCACACAAAAACAAGUCUAACUAUAGCAUAAAAUUAAUACAAUAAAUUAGAGAUGACUGAGAAUACUAUUUUAUAGACAUCGAAAAACAUAACGAUAUAAGCACAAUAAUAAAAGGCAUUAUUAAAUAAACCAAGUUACACGAGUUUUGCUUAUUACAUUAAAUAAACCUUCACGUGCUUUCAAAUUUUUUUUCGUAAGCUGUAAUUUAUGCGAUAGAAUUUGAAGCCUAACGUUUAAUAAUAAUUCGUUGUGACAACUGAAUUAAGCCCAGCCCACAACGAGACCCAAAAUAAAUAAUCAGCCUAUCUCUCAACCCAAAUCAGGUUGGAGUCUUUAAAUCCCCUUUUGUUCAACAAAAAAAAUAAUAUUGUUUAUUAAGUAUGCGUGCCCAUGGAUCAAUAGUAUGAUCAAAAUCGUUCAUUAUGUAAAACUUGUUGGUUAUAGUAUUUUGAAAAAAAAAAUCAGAUUCAUCGAACAUUGAUAACUACAUGAUCGUCCCACAUUAGGCUUACACUCUAAUCUCAAAAUCAUACUCUCUAUCCAUUUUAUCAAGAGAAAUAUGUCUCGGAUUACGUGGCUACUGAUGUUCAAUUUGAUUUUUGGUUGUCCAUGUUUGGUUCCUAACUUUAACUCAAUUUUUUGGGACUUUUUUUUGCCUUGAUUUUGGUACAAUAUCUUUUAUUUUUUUGAUUUAUCAUGACUAGAAUAUUUGAAUAAAGGUUACUAAAGACAAAAAUAAAUCGAUAUUUCUAUGUGAAUUUUGUUUUUGGUGAGUUUUUACAAUAUUUUAAUUUAAAUUUUAUUUUUCUAAUUUAUCUAAUUGUGACAAAACGAAAAAAUAAAUAUUAAAUUUAGAUGGCAUAAAUCUUGAGGGAAACAAGAAUUUGAUUUAUAUCGUUAUGAUAUUAGGUUUUGGAUUCCCAAAAUAUUAUUUACUGAUAUUAGGUUUUGGAUUCCUGUUAACAAUUCUUAUUCCCCAAAUUUCAGCCAGCCAAACACAGCUUAAGAUCAUUUUCCCUAACACUCCCAACACAAAAAUGAAAGGAAAAUGCUAUUCUAUAAGAAUUUUCAUACAUAAAUUGUCUCCGGAAUAAUGUGUCGAUGGUAUUAUUGUAAUCAAAAGAUGUUAUUUAUCUUUAAAUGAUAGGCCUAUAAUUCUACCACAUCAUUUUAUAUAAUUUUUUUUGUACAUUUUUUUUGUUAAUUUGUAUAUCAUUUCUCAAAAAAAAAAGAGAAAUCAUCAUAAAAAUUACUAAUAUUCUCACAUCAAAAGUACAUUUACUUGCCAUCAUUUGAUGAGCCAUUGGGUGCAGGCGAAGGACCAAGUCCCUAUCAAUUCAGAAAAACUUUAUUCCCACCCCCGAUACACAACACGGAGUGUGAUGAUAGGAAGGUAAAUAAAAAAUUUUGGCCAACUUUACUCCUUUUCUCAUCUCUCUCUCUCACCCAUUGUGUAAUUUAUUUUAUCUAGUUUUUUAUUAAAAAAAAUAUAAAUCAAAAAUUUUUAAAAACACUAAAAUAAAAAAUUAUAAUUUGUUAUUUGAGACUAUUCUUAAAAGUUUAUUUUACUACCGUUCCAUUGUUCCACCACUCGUGUCAUGGGAAUACAGACUCUCUUCCAUGGAUAAUUUUUACAAGUGCCAAGAAAAAGAAUCCAAUGAUUGGAAGAGCAAAGAAUUCAUUUCUUUCCAACCAAAAAUCCAAAAUCCAAAAACAAAAAGGAAUUGAAAAGAGAUGGAGAAAGAAAUUAGAAAGAUGGGUUUAUAGGAACACAAAGAAAUGGGUCCAGAGGGUAUUGAGAUUGAGGUACUAGAGGAUGAAGAGGCCUUGCUAUAUACACAUAGGAUGGAGUCAAAAUAUUAUUUUAGUGGGAUCAAAAUUAUAAAAUUAUAUAUAAUUAUAAAAUAAUAGUAUAAUUGUUUUUUU